AUUGAACGCUGGCGGCAGGCUUAACACAUGCAAGUCGAGCGGGGGAAGGUAGCUUGCUACUGGACCUAGCGGCGGACGGGUGAGUAAUGCUUAGGAAUCUGCCUAUUAGUGGGGGACAACAUCUCGAAAGGAAUGCUAAUACCGCAUACGUCCUACGGGAGAAAGCAGGGGAUCUUCGGACCUUGCGCUAAUAGAUGAGCCUAAGUCGGAUUAGCGAGUUGGUGGGGUAAAGGCCUACCAAGGCGACGAUCUGUAGCGGGUCUGAGAGGAUGAUCGGCCACACUGGGACUGAGACACGGCCCAGACUCCUACGGGAGGCAGCAGUGGGGAAUAUUGGACAAUGGGGUGAACCCUGAUCCAGCCAUGCCGCGUGUGUGAAGAAGGCCUUAUGGUUGUAAAGCACUUUAAGCGAGGAGGAGGCUACUCUAGUUAAUACCUAGGGAUAGUGGACGUUACUCGCAGAAUAAGCACCGGCUAACUCUGUGCCAGCAGCCGCAGUAA
RNAcentral lists this ribosomal RNA (501 nucleotides) under uncultured bacterium. RNAcentral describes it as "partial 16S ribosomal RNA". It matches the Rfam family "Bacterial small subunit ribosomal RNA", at positions 30 to 523 of the family's 1533-position model. The record is from RNAcentral.